Molecule: ribosomal RNA, 424 nt
Filed under: uncultured bacterium
Lineage: Bacteria
Description: bacterial SSU rRNA
Rfam family: Bacterial small subunit ribosomal RNA
Source: RNAcentral
GGGGAAUUUUGCGCAAUGGGCGAAAGCCUGACGCAGCAACGCCGCGUGUGUGAUGAAGGUCUUUGGAUUGUAAAGCACUUUCGACCGGGAAGAAAACCCGUUGGCUAACAUCCAACGGCUUGACGGUACCGGGAGAAGAAGCACCGGCUAACUCUGUGCCAGCAGCCGCGGUAAUACAGAGGGUGCAAGCGUUGUUCGGAAUUAUUGGGCGUAAAGCGCGUGUAGGCGGCGUGACAAGUCGGGUGUGAAAGCCCUCAGCUCAACUGAGGAAGUGCGCCCGAAACUGUUGUGCUUGAGUGCCGGAGAGGGUGGCGGAAUUCCCCAAGUAGAGGUGAAAUUCGUAGAUAUGGGGAGGAACACCGGUGGCGAAGGCGGCCACCUGGACGGUAACUGACGCUGAGACGCGAAAGCGUGGGGAGCAAAC